This 256-nucleotide ribosomal RNA is filed under the name uncultured bacterium. RNAcentral's name for it is "partial 16S ribosomal RNA". The record is from RNAcentral.
CUGCUGCCUUCCGUAGGAGUUUGGUCCGUGUCUCAGUACCAAUGUGGGGGGUUAACCUCUCAGUCCCCCUAUGUAUCGUCGCCUUGGUGAGCCGUUACCUCACCAACCAGCUAAUACAACGCAUGCCCAUCAUCAACCACCGGAGUUUUCAACCCCAUGCGAUGCCGCAUGAGAUAUUAUGGGGUAUUAGUACCAAUUUCUCAGUGUUAUCCCCCUGUUGAUGGUAGGUUGCAUACGCGUUACGCACCCGUGCCGG